UCUCACCUUACAUCUGCCUGGCUUAGGAAGAGCACAACCAGCCAAAGGACAGGCCGCAGAUGUUUUCUCAGAGGGUGAACGAAGACGUGCAUGCCCAAGAGGACAGAGAAGAGGUAUGAGAGAGACGCAUGAGCAGCUGAGAGAGGCCCACAGCACACACACAGGAGGCAUGCACUCUGGUGACAGCAAACACAGUUCCAGUCACCACACAAGCACAGCAGCAGCCAACGCUUUCCUCCCAACUUAGGACUUCAGUGAGAAAGGGGAGUUUGACUGCCGGGAGCAGACAUUCCGGAAAGCUGCGGGGAGGGAAGUCCAGCAAGCUUACGUACACGAGACAGUCGGUGCUAGCCAGUUGGCCUCCUGAUAACUCAGUGACACAGAGGGAACCCCAUCCAAGUUGACUUUCCAUCAUCUAUUUUUGAAUCCUUUUAACACUUUAUGAGAAAGAGAGAGAACAACAGAACAGGCAGGCAGGCUGUGUUUAACCCCACGAAACUGCAGUAGAGCCUGAAAGCUUGGGAGUAAAUACAACUUUUUGGCACCUUGUUAUAAAACAUGAACACCCCAUAUCUCAUCAUAUCAUUAUUAGUCUAUGGAUUCCACGCUCCGGCAUACUUACACAUUUACGGAAAAGAGAGAGAAGGAAACAGAGAGAGGACUGUGCUGAGAUGUUUAGAGAGAAGAACUCGGGGUUCAAGCCACAGCAAUAUUAACGAGGACAGGAGGGUAGGGCAGCCUGGAGAACAAACAAGCUGCCUGCAUCAGUUUUGAAAGAGACGGUAUAGAAGACACACAGACACUCCUAAUUCCUUGCCUUGGCUGGAUAACUCGGCUGCAAAAGGUAAGGUUCUUUGCUCUUCUGGUUUUCAGGAUCAGAGGUAACCUGGGGGCCUAGCACAGGUGGUCUCACUGCAUCUGGGAACGAAGCCCGAGUCCCCAAGGGAGGACUCUCGCCACGGUUAACGGCAUCUUGGCGGAUGUCAAAGAACAGCUUGGGAGGGUCAGGAGGAAGAGCAGGGGGUGGUUUCCCUGUGCCGGCUGUGGGGGAGACAAGGCUGGGAGCUGGUGCUCGGGUGCCCACAGCCUCCGAGGGAGUGCCUUUGGCCGGGUCACGUGCAACACGAGAGUUUUCUGACGCCGCCGGGCAAAUGUUAUUGGAUAAACAAGGAAAAGAAUUGGAAGAACCAUCCUUAUUUGUGUUCACAGGAGACAGAUGUCUUAAUUGAUUCACCGAGAUUCUGCACUCAAUUCCAUAAGCACAACAAGUUAAAACUCGCCAAGAAGAGAACGCUAACGACUUUGAAUAUACCUGUGCUCUUUUCUCACUGGAAACAAUUUGAUGGAACUUAUUAGGAGGACAGGCAUGAGAUUAAAAGUGCACCGUUUCCCAUUUCUGAUGCACACAGAAAAAGGGACCAGGCAAUGAAGCACUACUGGAUUGGACUGUGCCUGGCUUGCCAAAUUCCAGCCCCAUCCCCACCCAGCACAGAGAAUCAAUCCCAGAGUUGAAUAAUCAGCCUCAGACUCACAGCUUAAGCCAAAGUUCCGGUUACAGGUUCAGGGGUAAAGAGCUAUAGUUCACAUCUCAUUUCCUCCCAGCCCCAACACCGUUCCUCCUUGGGUCUCAAUGCGUCAGAAAAUGAGGGGACUCUCCAAACCCUCACUUCAAUGAGUCAUCUGCCAACCUGUGGCUCAACUGGGAAUCAGACCAUGAGAUGAAGAAAGUUGGUUUUCCUAGAUUUUCUUCACUGGUCCCUAUCUUUAAAGAUAUCUCAGUACCUGAAGAAAACCAGAAUCUUCCCCCAAACUGCACAGGGCACCCAUGACAGUGUCAGUGGAAUGUGGCCCUAUGUGUCAGCCAAAAAUACAAAAUGAAAAGCCCCUCUCCGGUACUCAGCAAGAGCAAAGACUUUCAGAUGAACUCACUUGGUUUCAGUGAACUUAGACUAGAGUUUGGGGCACGUUUACAGACUAAAUGAUGCUCUCCAGAAACAAGACACCUGGACUAGCACGCACCAAAGACAGUGAGGGUAAGCUGAUAAUGGCUGUAGCAAGGUAAGCAAAAGACUAUUUUGAUUUGGGCUCAGAUUUACUUUUACUUGGAGCUCAAGCAUCCCACAUGUGACUUCUUGUCCAAAGAUAGAAAUCAGUUUCAAUGAGUUUUUAACUUAUUUUGGCUGUGGCCAUAUAUGGUGCCAGGGCUGCAUUACAUCAGGCACAAGCCUUCCCAGGGCUCUGACCCUGUAGAGAGGACACUUCCCCAGAGCGAUGACAAUGCAAUGAGAGCCAAAGGUCUUCCUGUCCUGGGGCCUCUUUUAGCCCUAAGAAGGAGGGUCAAGGCACAGUGACUUUACAUGAAAGGAACUACUUUUUGGUUUAUUGUAAAUGUUGUAGGAAUCACACAGGCAGUUUGCAUUCCCGAGCAGAUGUCUACUCAUGGAAUUCCAUUUAUCUUUUGAGAAGGUGGGUCAGUGAAAAAAAAUGAGACUUCUUGAAAAAUCUGGUAUGUUUACAGUUUUAUACAGUUCCAGAAACUGCCAGUCCCCACCCCCACUGGGGACCACCAUGAUGAUGAUGAUGAUGUCAGAGAGAGGGAAGCCCUGGUUCCCUGUUAUCAGGGUGGAAAGAGCAAGGCAGGGGGUCCAGGCUGGCAAGACACAGGAUUCCCAUACAGUCAUGGCUCUCCUCGGCCCCAACUCAGUCCUCAUGAGGAGAUGCUAUGCCUGCAGGGGAUCUGAGAGCUUUCUUCAGCUGAAACCAAGCCUGGGAAGUCACCAGCCUAGCCCACCUUGGCUCUGACUAAGCAAGUGCAUACAUAGAGUUCGGCUGUACAGACAAGAAGUCACAUUUGCAUUCACGAAACAAAUCCGAGAGGUAAUGCAUGACCCAAAGGCUCUUGAAACUUGAAUAGCCAGAAUUUCAAUGACACUGAAUAUGCAGAGUAAACCUCAUAUCAGCAAUUUACCAGGUCCCCUUUAAUAAGCCCUAGUAAAAAGAAAAUUCUUGGACAGUAACAGAUAAAAAAAAAACACACCGUCCAUAGGAGAUGUUACAGGAUGCUAACCCUUAUUAUAUAUAAGGCUCAUCCUUAAAGUCCUUGAGCAACGUUUAACAUGGUGACCUGAACACAAUAGAGAUGCCCAAUAAAGCUGUGUAAAAUAUGAGGGUUCCUCAAAAAGUUCAUGGAAAAAUGGAAUUAAAAGACAACAGAAAUCCUUCCAUGAACUUUCUGAAGUACCCUCAUAAAUAUAUUUAAAGGGAAUUUUUAUUAACUUCACAUGCUUUCAAAAUGAUCUCUUUAGAAGAGCUGCUUAAGAAGGUAAAAUGAAUUACUGAGUUACGCUUUGGGCUAAGUCACUGACAGCGGAAGAAGAUAUGCUUCCACAUUUGCUUUGAAUUAAUUAGCACUGCUUUCUAAUCUGGACAGAGCUGACUGUAUCCAUUCUUAAGAUGGCUGAGCAGGAAGCGAAUCUACUACACGCAGCACAUUUAUACUCUGGGGAAGGCUUCAGAAAUGGGAACACUAUGUUAAGUCAUUUACCGUACAACUGACUUUCCCAAGUCCCUGUGUCUAAUGAGGACUUCAGGAGGCCAGGCACAUUCGCAGCUCCUGACUCCCACCAGUGGCCCUGAAAGCACAUAGCUGUACUUAAGGGUCACAUCAUGACAGGUGGCAGAAAGCCUCAAUGGUGCUGCUCAGCACACAAGGCAAUUAGGUGACCACCUCUAAGCCUGGGAAGACAGGGGUCUGCAGAGAGAAAGGAAGGCAUCAUCUUUGACUCAAGUUCAUUUCAGUGGCCAGUGCAAUUUUAUGUCCUCAGGAGCAGGAGCCAGAGGAUCGUUGGAAACAGGGCAGGAACUCAGAAGGACCUGCAAAAUUUCCAGGCUCCUUGUGAGUUCUGAGAGCCCCUUCACAGAAGGCAGGCACAGGGAAGUGGACAAUACAAGGAACACAUUUCUGCAACAUUUUCUGAGCAGCACAACUUCCUUUAAGAGAAGACUGUACCAUUCUGUGGAUGUGGCUCCUCUGUAAAAAAAAAAAAAAAAAAAAAAAAAACAUUCUUCACAGAUCACCUGAAUUAAAACAAGGUCAUUCCUAUCAUCAGAAUGACAAAGUAGCAACAGAGAGGGGGAAAAAAAGAAAGAUCAAGAAAACCACACAGGGGGAAAGACUUAAGCAAGAUUAUCCCCACUUCAAGUUGUACAGCUUUGGGGGAUUUUCUUUUGGAAGGGAGAACUAGGCUAUUUAAGCUGUGCUGCCAUUUUGACUUCUGUCUGCUCCUGGGCCACUGGAUUUAGGGUCUGGCCACAGCUACCUGAUCUUAAUCUGUAGGGGUAGGUAGUUACUAGAACUCUUAGAGCUCCACAAAAGUAAUGGAACAAACACAGGUGCAUUCUUCUCUCAAAUAUAUACCCUAAAGAGUUUUUUAAAAAGAUGCUUGGGCCUUUUUCCUACUAAUUCAAGGCUAAAUGGAUUCCUCUUUCAGAACAUGUCCACAUAUGUAUCAAACUACAAAACAUCAAGGCCUAUUUCCAAUGCCCUGGCACAGACCAACCUCAACCCAUGCCUCUGCUCCCCUUGGCCUCAACUAACUCUGGUCCCUGCAGAGCUUUUCCAGAGUUGGUCAAAAGCCUGGAAGCUAUUCCAUUAUCCAGUUGGGCAAGCAGGAAGUCACAAGUCUAAGCUAAAAGACUCAAGAACAGGAGGUUUCAAGAUGGCGGCGGCUGCGGCGGCUGGCGCGGAGUAGCUGAGGUGGAAAAGGUGGCCACUGGGCCUCAGGCAGCCGGGAAACUUGUGGACCUUCCUCUGGCCAUCUCUUAAGGGAGGACUGCUGCUGCUGGCCGGUCGUGGGGGCUCAACGCCACUUUGCCCCCGGCAGGAGAGGCUGCCUCAUUUACAGGCAACAGCUUUGAAGUGUGGAGCAGGAAAAGAACUGAUUCUUAGCUGCAAAAGUGAGUCUUGAAACAGGGAACACGGCGCCAGGGCUGCUGUGGAUGCAGCCAGGAUCCCGGAGACCGGGGCCGCGCUGAAGAAGGCGGCCAGCUGCCCUAUUCAGGAUUCGAGGUUUCAGGCCGGCAUUAAAGAAGAUUCCUAGGAGCGCCCGAGCGGCACCGCGACUGAACAGCCCGAGGCGGCAGCGCCGAGAACACGGAAGGCAACAAACCAGAGACAGAGCGAGCGCCCGACCUGGCACAGCACUGUGAGUGAUCCCUGGCACAGCUCUGUUCGGGGGGGUGGAUGCCCACGCGGCUUCCGCCUGCACCACCAGGCCACUCAUUGCCCCGGUGCUGCCUCCAUUUUCCCAGGUGCGGGCAGCUCCGCCCUGCUCGGCCAUCACUGAGCCCAUUUGCUUGGCCUGGCGCGGGGCUUUCCGGGCCCUGCGGGCCGACCUCCUCUCCCACUCCCUCCGCGGUUCUCUGGCAGGGCUGUGGGUGUGGGGCGUCCCGACCAGUUUUGGGAGGGCUAGGAAGUACGGGCGGGCCGACUGUCACUCCACCACACCCUGGACUC
Cynocephalus volans (Philippine flying lemur) is the source of this 5515-nucleotide long non-coding RNA. RefSeq lists it as uncharacterized. NCBI's taxonomy places the organism in Eukaryota, Metazoa, Chordata, Mammalia, Dermoptera, Cynocephalidae. The record is from RefSeq and is a predicted model, not a curated record. The transcript has 4 exons.